RNAcentral lists this long non-coding RNA (288 nucleotides) under Prunus dulcis (almond). Its description in RNAcentral is "sRNA ncRNA". The record is from RNAcentral. Lineage: Eukaryota; Viridiplantae; Streptophyta; Magnoliopsida; Rosales; Rosaceae.
AUGGUUAGAUACGUCCCUGCUUCUCCUCCUCCGGAGAUGAUGGUGAAGGAGGCCUAUGUCGUAUGGAGUAGGAAGCAGGUAGAGGAUUUGUUGAAAAGUUUUGACAUGGACAAAGACGGCAAGCUUUCCAAGCAGGAGUUGCAGGCAGCUCUCAAUAAACUUGGGUCGCGUUGUGUCUUCUUAAGAGUUUUGAGAGCUCUACGCCAUGCAGAUUCCAACAAGGACGGGUUGAUUUCUAUAGACGAUCACCUUGUCAACUAUCUCUUUGAGUGCCGUUAUAAGCUAUAA